GAAGCUGGGAAAGGGCACACGGAGGAUGCCUAGGCGGCGGGAGCCGAAGAAGGACGUGCUAAGCUGCGAAAAGCCCGGAGGAGGUGCACAGGACCAGAGAUACCGGGAUAUCCGAAUGGGAGAACCUGCAUACCUGGAGGGUAUGCGCGAGAGAGGUAAGCCGGCGAACUGAAACAUCUAAGUAGCCGGAGGAAAAGAAAGUAAAGACGAUUCCCUGAGUAGCGGCGAGCGAACGGGGAGGAGCCUAAACCGUACAGGUGUUAAAGCUGGCAGCGUUGUCUGUACGGGGUAGAGGGAACAUACUGGACCGAAGCCAUAAGGUUGAUUUUAUCAUGAUGUAAGCGGAACGCGGCUGGAAAGCCGGACCGUAGGAGGUGAGAGUCCUGUAGAGCGUAAAGUUAUGAUAGGAUGUAUGGAAUCCCGAGUAGCAUCGGACACGAGGAAUCCGGUGUGAAUCAGCGUGGACCAUAUCACGUAAGGCUAAAUACUUCUACUGACCGAUAGAGGAGAGUACCGUGAGGGAAAGGUGAAAAGAACCCUGAGCAAGGGAGUGAAAUAGAAUUUGAAACCGUGUGCUUACAAACGGUAGGAGCACUUUAUGUGUGACUGCGUGGAUUUUGGUUAAUCAUCCUGCGAGUUAUGAUUAGUGGCAAGGUUAAUAAAGCGGAGCCGAAGGGAAACCGAGUCUCAAUAGGGCGUUAAGUCGCCAGUCAUAGACGCGAAACCUAGUGAUCUAGGCCUGUCCAGGCUGAAGCUGAGGUAAGACUCAGUGGAGGGCCGAACUCACCGCCGUUGAAAAGUUGGGAGAUGAGGCAGGUCUAGGGGUGAAAAGCCAAUCGAACUAGGAGAUAGCUCGUUCUCUCCGAAAUGCAUUUAGGUGCAGCCUUGGCAUUGAGAUAUGUGGGGGUAGAGCUCUGUAUGAUCUAGGGGGCGUACUGCUUACCGAAAUCAAGCAAACUGCGAAUACCAUAUAUUAUGUUCAGGAGUGAGUCCGUGGAUGACAAGGUCCUCGGACGAGAGGGGAACAGCCCAGACCGCCAGCUAAGGUCCCUAAUUAUGUCUAAGUGGGAAAGGAGGUGGAUAUUCACAGACAACCAGGAGGUUGGCUUAGAAGCAGCCAUACCUUGAAAGAGUGCGUAAUAGCUCACUGGUCGAGAGUAUCUGCGCCGAAGAUAUAACGGGGCUAAGACAUGAACCGAAGCCGCGGAAUUAGUUUAUGCUAAUUGGUAGGAGAGCGUUCUGUAGGCCGUAGAAGGGGUGUUGUAAGACAUUCUGGAGGUAUCAGAAGUGAGAAUGCAGGAAUGAGUAGCGAGAAGGAGGGCGAGAAUCCCUCCGGCCGGAAGUCCAAGGUUUCCAGGGGAAGGUUUGUCCGCCCUGGGGGAGUCGGGACCUAAGCAUAAGCAGAGCUGCGAAGGCGAAUGGAAAACAGGUUAAUAUUCCUGUACCGCUGUGUACUGUCUGAGAGAUGGAGUGACGCAGGAAGGUAUGCGGGAAGGCUGACGGAAUAGCCUUUCUAAGGGUGAAGCGUGGACAUAUAGGCAAAUCCGUAUGUUUAAACGUGAGGCCUGACGGGUAAGUACCUUAGGGUAUAAGCCGCAGAUCCUACACUGCCGGGAAAAACUUCUAUUUAGGGAAGCAGCGCCCGUACUGUAAACCGACACAGGUGGACAGAGUGAGAAACUUAAGGCCGACAGGAUAACUCUGGCUAAGGAACUCUGCAAAAUGGCCCCGUAACUUAGGGAGAAGGGGUGCCUGAUAUACCUGAGAGGAGAGACACCUUAAGGGGAAACAGGCCGCAGUGAAGAGUCCCAAGCAACUGUUUACCAAAAACACAGGUCUAUGCUAAGCUGAAAGGCGACGUAUAUGGGCUGACACCUGCCCAGUGCCGGAAGGUUAAGGGGAGGACUGAGAGGUCCGAGCUGAAGCCCCGGUGAACGGCGGCCGUAACUAUAACGGUCCUAAGGUAGCGAAAUUCCUUGUCGGGUAAGUUCCGACCUGCACGAAUGGUGAAAUGAUUUGGGAGCUGUCUUGGCUGGAGACCUGGUGAAGUUGUAAUGCCGGUGAAGAUACCGGUUACCUGCAGUAGGACGGAAAGACCCCGUGGAGCUUUACUGUAGCCUGGCAUUGGGUUUCGGCAAUGUGUGUAUAGGAUAGCUGGGAGGCUAAGAAGAUAUGGCGUCAGCUGUAUUGGAGCCGCUGUUGGAAUACCAGCCACGCAUUGUUGGGAUUCUAAUCUCAUAAGAUGGGAGACAGUGCUAGGUGGGCAGUUUGACUGGGGCGGUCGCCUCCAAAAGAGUAACGGAGGCGUUCAA
This 2312-nucleotide ribosomal RNA is filed under the name human metagenome. RNAcentral describes it as "bacterial LSU rRNA". It matches the Rfam family "Bacterial large subunit ribosomal RNA", at positions 1 to 2313 of the family's 2925-position model. The record is from RNAcentral.